RNAcentral lists this ribosomal RNA (439 nucleotides) under uncultured bacterium. Its description in RNAcentral is "partial 16S ribosomal RNA". It matches the Rfam family "Bacterial small subunit ribosomal RNA", at positions 338 to 795 of the family's 1533-position model. The record is from RNAcentral.
CCUACGGGAGGCAGCAGUGGGGAAUAUUGCACAAUGGGCGAAAGCCUGAUCCAGCAACGCCGCGUGAGCGAUGAAGGCCCUCGGGUUGUAAAGCUCUGUCCUCAAGGAAGAUAAUGACGGUACUUGAGGAGGAAGCCCCGGCUAACUACGGGCACGCAGCAGCGGAAAUACGUAGGGGGCCAGGGUUAUCGGGAAUUACUGGGCGUUAAGGGUGCGUAGGGGGUUUCUUAAGUCAGAGGUGAAAGGCUACGGUCCAACCGUAGUAAGCCUUUGUCACUGGGGAACUUGAGUGCAGGAGAGGAGAGUGGAAUUCCUAGUGUAGCGGUGAAAUGCGUAGAUAUUAGGAGGAACACCAGUUGCGAAGGCGGCUCUCUGGACUGUAACUGACACUGAGGCACGAAAGCGUGGGGAGCAAACAGGAUUAGAUACCCGUGUAGUC